AGUGAACGCUGGCGGUAGGCCUAACACAUGCAAGUCGAACGGCAGCACAGUAAGAGCUUGCUCUUACGGGUGGCGAGUGGCGGACGGGUGAGGAAUACAUCGGAAUCUACUUUUUCGUGGGGGAUAACGUAGGGAAACUUACGCUAAUACCGCAUACGACCUACGGGUGAAAGCAGGGGAUCUUCGGACCUUGCGCGAUUGAAUGAGCCGAUGUCGGAUUAGCUAGUUGGCGGGGUAAAGGCCCACCAAGGCGACGAUCCGUAGCUGGUCUGAGAGGAUGAUAGGCCACACUGGAACUGAGACACGGUCCAGACUCCUACGGGAGGCAGCAGUGGGGAAUAUUGGACAAUGGGCGCAAGCCUGAUCCAGCCAUACCGCGUGGGUGAAGAAGGCCUUCGGGUUGUAAAGCCCUUUUGUUGGGAAAGAAAAGCAGCAGGUUAAUACCCCGCUGUUAUGACGGUACCCAAAGAAUAAGCACCGGCUAACUUCGUG
Molecule: ribosomal RNA, 492 nt
Filed under: uncultured bacterium
Lineage: Bacteria
Description: partial 16S ribosomal RNA
Rfam family: Bacterial small subunit ribosomal RNA
Source: RNAcentral